AGGACGAACGCUGGCGGCGUGCUUAACACAUGCAAGUCGAACGAGAGGACAAGAGAAGCUUGCUUCUUUUGGAAUCGAGUGGCAAACGGGUGAGUAACACGUAAACAACCUGCCUUCAGGAUGGGGACAACAGACGGAAACGACUGCUAAUACCGAAUACGCUUGGAAGACCGCAUGAUUUUCCAAGGAAAGGGUGGCCUCUACCUGUAAGCUAUCGCCUGAAGAGGGGUUUGCGUCUGAUUAGGCAGUUGGUGAGGUAACGGCCCACCAAACCUACGAUCAGUAGCCGGUCUGAGAGGAUGAACGGCCACAUUGGGACUGAGACACGGCCCAAACUCCUACGGGAGGCAGCAGUGGGGAAUAUUGCACAAUGGGGGAAACCCUGAUGCAGCGACGCCGCGUGAGUGAUGAAGUAUUUCGGUAUGUAAGACUCUAUCAGCAGGGAAGAUAAUGACGGUACCUGACUAAGAAGCACCGGCUAAAUACGUG
Molecule: ribosomal RNA, 489 nt
Filed under: uncultured bacterium
Lineage: Bacteria
Description: bacterial SSU rRNA
Rfam family: Bacterial small subunit ribosomal RNA
Source: RNAcentral